Molecule: long non-coding RNA, 1115 nt
Organism: Ipomoea nil (Japanese morning glory)
Lineage: Eukaryota; Viridiplantae; Streptophyta; Magnoliopsida; Solanales; Convolvulaceae
Exons: 5
Source: RefSeq, a predicted model, not a curated record
CCUCCUUUUCUAUCUCUCUCCGCCGCACCCUUCUCUCCAAAAUCCAAAUCCCUAACCUCCGCCGCCUCCGUGCCUCGCCUGCUCCAAGCAACCAACGGACCAAGCCGCCUUCGUGGUGCGACGACGCAGCAGACUCGAAUGCCGACUUCCGCCUCUCCCCCGCCCUCCCCUGCGACAGAUCCAGUAGACUCGAACGCUUGUGCUUGUGUCUCGGUCUAGAUCUACGAUUUGGGUCUUGGUCGUCCUCCUUCCACAGCGGCACUGAAAUUGCAAGAUCUACUUCUCUGACCAGGUUCUUGAUCUUUAUUUCUUAUUUUUCUCACCAUAGUCUUUUAUACUACUGGUUUUCUUGGUGCUGCCUGCCUCUUUUGCAGUUCCGAGAGUGGAAUUACCAUAGGAGAGUAUGCUAAUGAAGAUGAAGAUGCUGGUGGGAAUGGAUGUGGAAGACGAUGAAGGAGCGGCUGGUCAGCAGCAGGAUUCGUCUUUGGCUUUCAUCGAUGACUUCAAUCACAAUUGCACUCUCUCCCCGAAGCAGAACUGCUAGCACUUAAAGCCCAUGGUAAAGGACACAAAAUACUAUGAAAUAUUGGGGGUUGGGGUGGGUGCCACGCCCGCAGGCGGUUCAUCAUCCAAAAUGUUGGUAUGCCCAAACAGAGUAGUACAAUGAUAAGGAACCAGGAGGGGUUCAUAGCAAUGGUCCUGUUCUUGAUGAAGUUCUACUGUCUGACCCAGAGUUAUCUGAUGCAAUUGAGAAUGAAAAGGUGGUGAACAAAACAAUUCAAAUUUAUAAUAUUGACCGUGCCACUUGUGGACCGCAUAGCUGGUGUUAUUGCGAAGAAAUACGGUGACACUGGUUUUGCUGGGUAGCUUAACAUAACAUUCAUAGGGAGUGGUGGGCAGUCAUUUGGUUGUUUUUUGACACCUGGAAAGAACAUCCGUCUUGUAGGAGAAGCUAAUGACUAUGUGGGGAAGGUUGGUUCAUUAAUUUUCUAAUACCAUGUGUAGAGCACAUUUAUCUCUCAAACAUAAGCUUAAAAGGAUAAAAUUUUUGUUAAACACCAAGUGCUUCUGAUAGUUUCAUUGUGAUUAAGUGUUUAUUAUUCACCUAUUUAUUA